This 776-nucleotide ribosomal RNA is filed under the name uncultured Neocallimastigales. RNAcentral describes it as "partial large subunit ribosomal RNA". It matches the Rfam family "Eukaryotic large subunit ribosomal RNA", at positions 23 to 616 of the family's 3401-position model. Lineage: Eukaryota; Fungi; Neocallimastigomycota; Neocallimastigomycetes; Neocallimastigales. The record is from RNAcentral.
AGAGAGAGACAUGCGCGCAUAUCAAUAAGCGGAGGAAAAGAAACUAACAAGGAUUCCCCUAGUAACGGCGAGUGAAGCGGGAAGAGCUCAAAUUUGAAAUCUUAAAGGGUUUCCCUUUACGAAUUGUAGUUUAAAGAAGUGUUUUCUGUUGAGGUUUCGGUAAAAGUUCUUUGGAAUAGGACAUCAUAGAGGGUGAGAAUCCCGUAUUUGACCAUUACUUUCCAACUUUGUGAUACACUUUCAAAGAGUCGGAUUGUUUGGGAAUGCAGUCCAAAAUGGGUGGUAAAUUUCAUCUAAAGCUAAAUAUUGGCGAGAGACCGAUAGCGAACAAGUACCGUGAGGGAAAGAUGAAGAGAACUUUGAAAAGAGAGUUAAACAGUACGUGAAAUUGUCAAAAGGGAAGCGUUUGACACCAGUGUUGUUUUUCUGAAAAUCAAUUAAAGAACUGUUUAUGCUAAGCUGUUUAGACUUUAUCAGCUAUACUGUUUAGUUUUGAGCUUUUCUUUAAUGCACUUUUCAGUUAACAAGUCAACAUCAAUUUCUUUUGCUGUAAAAAAGCUUGAGGAAGGUGGCUUGAGAUUCGUCUUAAGUGUUUAUAGCCUCUUGCCUAUGCAGUCGGAGAGAUUGAGGUCUGCAGCGUAGAUCCUUCGGGGCUAAAUGCAUUUGUGCUAAGUUAUAGCAUUUUAUAGACAACUUGUUGACUAUGAUUUGUCUUGUAGCUUACUCGCUUAUGUUAUUUUACCUACGCUUAGGAUGUUGAGCGCAUGUCUCUCUCU